This 506-nucleotide ribosomal RNA is filed under the name uncultured bacterium. RNAcentral describes it as "partial 16S ribosomal RNA". It matches the Rfam family "Bacterial small subunit ribosomal RNA", at positions 29 to 523 of the family's 1533-position model. The record is from RNAcentral.
AGUGAACGCUGGCGGUAGGCCUAACACAUGCAAGUCGAACGGCAGCACAGGAGAGCUUGCUCUCUGGGUGGCGAGUGGCGGACGGGUGAGGAAUACAUCGGAAUCUACUUUUUCGUGGGGGAUAACGUAGGGAAACUUACGCUAAUACCGCAUACGACCUACGGGUGAAAGCAGGGGAUCUUCGGACCUUGCGCGAUUGAAUGAGCCGAUGUCGGAUUAGCUAGUUGGCGGGGUAAAGGCCCACCAAGGCGACGAUCCGUAGGUGGUCUGAGAGGAUUUGCAGCCACACUGGAACUGAGACACGGGCCAGACUCCUACGGGAGGCAGCAGUGGGGAAUAUUGGACAAUGGGCGCAAGCCUGAUCCAGCCAUACCGCGUGGGUGAAGAAGGCCUUCGGGUUGUAAAGCCCUUUUGUUGGGAAAGAAAUCCAGCUGGUUAAUACCCGGUUGGGAUGACGGUACCCAAAGAAUAAGCACCGGCUAACUUCGUGCCAGCCGCCGCGGUAA